GAUGAACGCUGGCGGCGUGCCUAAUACAUGCCAGUCGAGCGAACAGACGAGGAGCUUGCUCCUCUGACGUUAGCGGCGGACGGGUGAGUAACACGUGGAUAACCUACCUAUAAGACUGGGAUAACUUCGGGAAACCGGAGCUAAUACCGGAUAAUAUAUUGAACCGCAUGGUUCAAUAGUGAAAGACGGUUUUGCUGUCACUUAUAGAUGGAUCCGCGCCGCAUUAGCUAGUUGGUAAGGUAACGGCUUACCAAGGCAACGAUGCGUAGCCGACCUGAGAGGGUGAUCGGCCACACUGGAUCUGAGACACGGUCCAGACUCCUACGGGAGGCAGCAGUAGGGAAUCUUCCGCAAUGGGCGAAAGCCUGACGGAGCAACGCCGCGUGAGUGAUGAAGGUCUUCGGAUCGUAAAACUCUGUUAUUAGGGAAGAACAAAUGUGUAAGUAACUAUGCACGUCUUGACGGUACCUAAUCAGAAAGCCACGGCUAACUACGUG
This 497-nucleotide ribosomal RNA is filed under the name uncultured bacterium. Its description in RNAcentral is "partial 16S ribosomal RNA". It matches the Rfam family "Bacterial small subunit ribosomal RNA", at positions 28 to 507 of the family's 1533-position model. The record is from RNAcentral.